AGGGUUAAUGAAGAAUGGUUUCUUCGUAAUAAAUUCUGAAUUCUUAUUUCGGGUUCGAUUCCCUUUAACUCUA
RNAcentral lists this transfer RNA (73 nucleotides) under Lactarius zonarius. Its description in RNAcentral is "tRNA-Gln". The record is from RNAcentral. Lineage: Eukaryota; Fungi; Basidiomycota; Agaricomycetes; Russulales; Russulaceae.